AGUGAACGCUGGCGGUAGGCCUAACACAUGCAAGUCGAACGGCAGCACAGGAGAGCUUGCUCUCUGGGUGGCGAGUGGCGGACGGGUGAGGAAUACAUCGGAAUCUGCCCAGUCGUGGGGGAUAACGUAGGGAAACUUACGCUAAUACCGCAUACGACCUUCGGGUGAAAGAGGGGGAUCGCAAGACCUCUCGCGAUUGGAUGAGCCGAUGUCGGAUUAGCUAGUUGGCGGGGUAAUGGCCCACCAAGGCGACGAUCCGUAGCUGGUCUGAGAGGAUGAUCAGCCACACUGGAACUGAGACACGGUCCAGACUCCUACGGGAGGCAGCAGUGGAGAAUAUUGGACAAUGGGCGCAAGCCUGAUCCAGCCAUACCGCGUGGGUGAAGAAGGCCUUCGGGUUGUAAAGCCCUUUUGUUGGGAAAGAAAUCUUUCAGGCUAAUACCCUGGGAGGAUGACGGUACCCAAAGAAUAAGCACCGGCUAACUUCGUG
Molecule: ribosomal RNA, 490 nt
Filed under: uncultured bacterium
Lineage: Bacteria
Description: partial 16S ribosomal RNA
Rfam family: Bacterial small subunit ribosomal RNA
Source: RNAcentral